GGUUAAGCGACUAAGCGUACACGGUGGAUGCCCUGGCAGUCAGAGGCGAUGAAGGACGUGCUAAUCUGCGAAAAGCGUCGGUAAGGUGAUAUGAACCGUUAUAGCCGGCGAUGUCCGAAUGGGGAAACCCAGUGCAAUUCGUUGCACUAUCGUUUGAUGAAUACAUAGUCAAACGAGGCGAACCGGGGGAACUGAAACAUCUAAGUACCCCGAGGAAAAGAAAUCAACCGAGAUUCCCCCAGUAGCGGCGAGCGAACGGGGAGCAGCCCGGAGUCUGAAUCAGCUUGUGUGUUAGUGGAAGCGUCUGGAAAGUCGCAGGGUACAGGGUGAUACUCCCGUACACUAAAGCGCACAGGCUGUGAACUCGAAGAGUAGGGCGGGACACGUGGUAUCCUGUCUGAAUAUGGGGGGACCAUCCUCCAAGGCUAAAUACU
Molecule: ribosomal RNA, 434 nt
Filed under: Klebsiella grimontii
Lineage: Bacteria; Pseudomonadati; Pseudomonadota; Gammaproteobacteria; Enterobacterales; Enterobacteriaceae
Description: partial 23S ribosomal RNA
Rfam family: Bacterial large subunit ribosomal RNA
Source: RNAcentral